AUGGCGUCGUCACCUCCGUACCGGUUCCCCGCACUCUGCGAGGAGGAGCCGACGCGACGCUCCGCCAGGCAGUCAUGCGGGACAUGCAGCGCGGCGGCGGUGGCCAACUGCGUGGCACUGUGCUGCUGCCCGUGCGCCGUGGUGAGCUGCUUCACGCUGGCGCUCGUCAAGGCGCCCUACGUGGCAGGCCGGCGAUGGGUCAGGCGCGCCAAGACGCGGCGUGUCAGCAGGGGCGUGCUGCGGAAGACGAGCCGCGUCCGGGACUUGGACGACCAGCUGUACCAGGCGGAGGGGCUGGGCGGCAGUGGCGGCGCCGCGCGGGCGAGCAAGGAGGACGACUGGGGCGGGCUGGGCAGGGCUGCCGCCUCGGGCUGGUGGGAGAACACCAACGAUGUAAAUUUGCUCGGGGAUGGCAGGAUGAGGGUGAGCGUGACGGAGAAGGCGUGGAUGGAGAUGUACGACGUCGGCCACUGGGGCUUCGGCCGGCUGUCCUUCUCGCUGGCCAGAGACGCCGCGCCCGCCGCGCAGGUGGUCAGGCACGACCCAGAGCCCCAAGAAGAUGGCACUGUUGCUGCGGGGCGGUGA
This 585-nucleotide ribosomal RNA is filed under the name Triticum aestivum (bread wheat). Its description in RNAcentral is "partial small subunit ribosomal RNA". Lineage: Eukaryota; Viridiplantae; Streptophyta; Magnoliopsida; Poales; Poaceae. The record is from RNAcentral.